This 434-nucleotide ribosomal RNA is filed under the name uncultured bacterium. RNAcentral's name for it is "partial 16S ribosomal RNA". It matches the Rfam family "Bacterial small subunit ribosomal RNA", at positions 27 to 507 of the family's 1533-position model. The record is from RNAcentral.
GAACGAACGCUGGCGGCAUGCCUAACACAUGCAAGUCGAACGAGACCUUCGGGUCUAGUGGCGCACGGGUGCGUAACGCGUGGGAACCUGCCCUUAGGUUCGGAAUAACUCCCCGAAAGGGGUGCUAAUACCGGAUAAUGUCUUCGGACCAAAGAUUUAUCGCCUUUGGAUGGGCCGGCGUUGGAUUAGCUAGUUGGUAGGGUAAAAGCCUACCAAGGCGACGAUCCAUAGCUGGUCUGAGAGGAUGAUCAGCCACACUGGGACUGAGACACGGCCCAGACUCCUACGGGAGGCAGCAGUGGGGAAUAUUGGACAAUGGGCGAAAGCCUGAUCCAGCAAUGCCGCGUGAGUGAUGAAGGCAUUAGGGUUGUAAAGCUCUUUUAACCGGGAUGAUAAUGACAGUACCGGGAGAAUAAGCUCCGGCUAACUCCGUG